This 75-nucleotide small RNA is filed under the name Xanthomonas vasicola. Its description in RNAcentral is "sX9 sRNA". It matches the Rfam family "Xanthomonas sRNA sX9". Lineage: Bacteria; Pseudomonadati; Pseudomonadota; Gammaproteobacteria; Lysobacterales; Lysobacteraceae. The record is from RNAcentral.
AUACCAUUCGUACACCGCAGUUCUGAGCACGCCGUCCGCGCCCACCUGACAGCUGCUUGCUACGUUUUGUCAGCC